GGGCCCGCACAAGCGGAGGAACAUGUGGUUUAAUUCGAUGAUACGCGAGGAACCUUACCCGGGAUUGAAAUGUGCACGAAUAACGGUGAAAGCCGUUAGCCAUUAGGCGUGCAUGUAGGUGCUGCAUGGUUGUCGUCAGCUCGUGCCGUGAGGUGUCGGCUUAAGUGCCAUAACGAGCGCAACCCUGACCGUCAGUUGCCAUCAGGUAAAGCUGGGGACUCUGGCGGGACUGCCGGCGUAAGCUGUGAGGAAGGUUGGGAUGACGUCAAAUCAGCACGGCCCUUACAUCCGGGGCGACACACGUGUUACAAUGGCAUGGACAAAGGGCAGCUACCGGGCGACCGGAUGCUAAUCUCCAAACCAUGUCUCAGUUCGGAUCGGAGUCUGCAACUCGACUCCGUGAAGCUGGAUUCGCUAGUAAUCGCGCAUCAGCCAUGGCGCGGUGAAUACG
This 451-nucleotide ribosomal RNA is filed under the name uncultured Bacteroidales bacterium. Its description in RNAcentral is "bacterial SSU rRNA". It matches the Rfam family "Bacterial small subunit ribosomal RNA", at positions 917 to 1370 of the family's 1533-position model. The record is from RNAcentral. Lineage: Bacteria; Pseudomonadati; Bacteroidota; Bacteroidia; Bacteroidales.